GGUGGAGUUGAUGAUAGAUCAUGGGCACAAGCACAUCGCUAUGUGCUAUUACACCAUGAAGCUAUUGAACCAUUCCAGAAUGAGUAUAAAAAUUUAUUGAGAGAUCAAAUGCGUGCUCGACGUUCAAAUGCACGUGAUGUUGAUAGGAAAUUUACUGAAACUUUCCAUGAGUGGUUGGGGGAAACUGUUUCUCGACGUAGUGAUGUGGUUGACGAAGUUAGAUUCCUUGCAAUAGGUCCAAACAGGGUUAUAAAAAGGUAUAAAGGGCUCAUCAUUAAUGGAUUUCGAUUUCAUACAAAAUCUUGGUAAAGAUGUAGAAGAACACAAAAUUCUGGAGUUCUUGUUACCUCUUCCACGAUAAGCUAUGCCAGUGCAAGGGAUGCUAAUCCAUUAGAAGGAAAUGUCGACUAUUAUGGGAUAUUGACUGAUAUAAUUGAGUUGGAUUAUUUCAACAAGUUCAAGGUUGUGCUAUUUCGAUGUGAUUGGGCUGAUGUGAAUACUA
Dioscorea cayenensis subsp. rotundata (Guinea yam) is the source of this 502-nucleotide long non-coding RNA. RefSeq lists it as uncharacterized. The transcript has 3 exons. Lineage: Eukaryota; Viridiplantae; Streptophyta; Magnoliopsida; Dioscoreales; Dioscoreaceae. The record is from RefSeq and is a predicted model, not a curated record.